AACGCUUUUGAUGGUAUUUUCACCUUUGUCGUAGUUAAAUAAAUUGAAUUUUCAAAAGAAUCCCACAAAUAAAAACGAUUUGUCACAAAAGACUGCUCUAUGUUCAUUAAUGUGGCUCUUAGUUUUCACUUAUUUCAAAAAAAAUGUGGUUCUUAGUUUUCACGUUUAAAGUGUAUGACAUCUCAAGCAGGAAGGAGUGCCAUUGCAUGCUCUUCUUGACUCCAGACAAUGAUUUCGCUGGCACGGAUCAGACCAUCUCGCUGGAAGAAAUCAAGGCAACAACAGCAAAUAUGUGAGCUCUGAUGAAUUAUUAGAUUUAACUUUGUACUUGGUCAAAGGAGAAUACGAGAAAAAGAAAACAAGGAAAACAACAAUUAUAUUGUUUGUAUGUAAAUCUGUAUACUAACAAGCAACCAAAUCUUUCUGUCUUCUUUAUCUAUUCCUAUUUCACUCUUCCUUAAUCUGUAAACUUCUCUCCACCAAAUCUUGGUGCAGCCGUGUUCUUCUUCAGCUUCUUACACUUGGGACGUGCCUUUCUUUUUCCUUUGUUGGUAAAGUUGUUUGGCACAAUGUAAUAUUUGCCCAACUUAAACAUAUAUAAACAUAAAUGGCAACCUAGUAAAUGUUUA
Molecule: non-coding RNA, 629 nt
Organism: Carica papaya (papaya)
Lineage: Eukaryota; Viridiplantae; Streptophyta; Magnoliopsida; Brassicales; Caricaceae
Source: RefSeq, a predicted model, not a curated record